GGCCCAUGGGUCUUAUCCUGCAAGGUGCUGCAGAGACGAGGCCUGUAGCACCUUGCAGGAUAAGGCCUACUGGGCC
MicroRNA precursor from Gorilla gorilla gorilla (western lowland gorilla), 76 nucleotides. The record is from Ensembl. NCBI's taxonomy places the organism in Eukaryota, Metazoa, Chordata, Mammalia, Primates, Hominidae.